AAUAAACUAUUUCUAACACCCGUAAUAGAUGCGAUAAAGCAACUGCCAAGUGCUGUCCUAUCGAUUCUGGUACUACAUCAAAAUGGGAGGGGUAAGUGGAGUCAACGGAAAAGCGUCAGCUGUUGACUUACCAAUGUGAAGAUACUGUGGGCUACUAUACUGGCUGCUGGCCUCCUUGAUUAGCCAUUCAUGAGUCAACAUAGAGAUUUCAGAGCUCCACAGGAGACACUUACUCCUGUUUAAAAAUGAUCCAUGAUGCACUGAAGACUGAGGUGAGGCUGACUGAUCUGAAGAUCCGUGGAUUGUCCUUCUUCCCUUUUUUUUAAAGUGACAGUCUUGAGCACUUGUGCACCUCGGUCCUUCAUAUUCUCUGCCUGUGGCACGUGAGUUUCAUCCAGGAAUGGACAAUAAUUUUCAUAAGGGGGCCACUCGAUGAAUUUUGGUUUAAUACUUGGCUGAGAAGACUUGAAUAGAAAAUACCAUGUGAGUAGUCCAGAAAAAUGAUGUGACAGGUGCUUAGCCUCAUUUUUCAUGCUAGCUUUGCCAUGCCAUUUUCACCAGUAAUGAAGGCAGCUGCCAGAGCUCGAGGAAGUCAGGCGAAAAAUUCAGCUGGCAGGUAGACCCAGUCACUUUAAGAAACAUAAUCUUAUGUUAGCAGAUGGUAAUUAAAAGGCAGAAGAAAUAAAAUUUUGUCUCCGUUUUCUGCACUGUUACAUCAAUUAAAUCUGCAACUGAAAUGCAAGCAGAAAAUAACAUUUAUUUCC
This is a long non-coding RNA of Pelodiscus sinensis (Chinese soft-shelled turtle), 764 nucleotides long. RefSeq lists it as uncharacterized. Lineage: Eukaryota; Metazoa; Chordata; Testudines; Trionychidae. The record is from RefSeq and is a predicted model, not a curated record.